Molecule: long non-coding RNA, 525 nt
Filed under: Prunus dulcis (almond)
Lineage: Eukaryota; Viridiplantae; Streptophyta; Magnoliopsida; Rosales; Rosaceae
Description: sRNA ncRNA
Source: RNAcentral
AUGUUACUCUCUCUUCUCAAUCUAUUCGGGAUCAAGCUACACUACUCAUCCAAACGUGGUCAAUAUCAAAAGGAUAAUUACAUUCUUGAUCCCCAGCCCGAGAUCAAUCCUUCAACUCGGUGGCUGGUACCAUUACCCGUCCACUGCAUGGCUGAAUCCAUGAAGAACCAACUGCCAGUGGUGCAAUACCGGGACUUUCUCAAGAUCAAAACAGGCCAACCAGCAGAAGCAGAAGAUGACUACAAUAACAAUGAUCAUAUGUGUAUUGUGUGCAUGAACAGCAUGGAAGGUAGCCAAGGGGUCAGAAAACUCUGCCAUUGUUCACAUGCUUUUCACAAGGAGUGCUUAGAUGUUUGGAUCGAUGAGGGUCAGCUCACAUGUCCUCUCUGUAGAUCUAACUUAUUGCCUAAUUCCACCCCAAAAUCAAAUCAUCAUCAUCACCAUAAGGACAUGGGAGAAUCUGGAGAGGAUCCAUGGAGGGCCGAGAGGAUGAUUUACUUGUUUGGUGAGGAUGAGCUUGCCUAA